Molecule: long non-coding RNA, 528 nt
Organism: Dama dama (fallow deer)
Lineage: Eukaryota; Metazoa; Chordata; Mammalia; Artiodactyla; Cervidae
Exons: 3
Source: RefSeq, a predicted model, not a curated record
UGACAUCUGCGAGGCUGGCUGGCCUUCCUCUGACUCAGGCUUGCUCUCGCUGCCCUUUGCCUGGGUUGAUUGGAGCCAUGUGCGAAAUCAGCCUUCUGCAAACCAGGCACUGAGAACGCCUGGAAAGCGAGGAGGGCCCUGCAGAGACUGUUUCCUGACGCUUCCAGCCUCUGCAGGCCUCAGAUGGUGACCGGCAUCUGGUGGACCCAGGCCCUGCAAACCGACCACAGAAAAGGUGUCUCCAUUUCAGCAGUUCUCAGCUCUGACCGGUGAGGCUCCUAAAACCAAUGAGGGUAUAACUCAGCCGUAAUAAAAGCAUGAAAUAAUGCCAUUGGCAGCAGCAUGGAUGGACCUAGUCGAUGAUCCUUCGAAGUGAAGUAUGCAUAGACGGGAACACCCAGUUGAUUCUGAUGAAAUUCUCGAACAGAGGCCUGGCCCCCAGCCCUGACUCUCGAAGUCAGACUGUCCCCCGGGGGUGGGCCCAGCCCUGCAGGUAAGUCUGAAGUCCAGCCAGCCUUGGUGCCAUGG